Molecule: ribosomal RNA, 1310 nt
Filed under: Mycolicibacterium mageritense
Lineage: Bacteria; Bacillati; Actinomycetota; Actinomycetes; Mycobacteriales; Mycobacteriaceae
Also listed under: 1 other name
Description: bacterial SSU rRNA
Rfam family: Bacterial small subunit ribosomal RNA
Source: RNAcentral
GACGAACGCUGGCGGCGUGCUUAACACAUGCAAGUCGAACGAGUGGCGAACGGGUGAGUAACACGUGGGUGAUCUGCCCUGCACUUUGGGAUAAGCCUGGGAAACUGGGUCUAAUACCGAAUAGGGAAAGGCGGUGUGGGAUGGGCCCGCGGCCUAUCAGCUUGUUGGUGGGGUGAUGGCCUACCAAGGCGACGACGGGUAGCCGGCCUGAGAGGGUGACCGGCCACACUGGGACUGAGAUACGGCCCAGACUCCUACGGGAGGCAGCAGUGGGGAAUAUUGCACAAUGGGCGCAAGCCUGAUGCAGCGACGCCGCGUGAGGGAUGACGGCCUUCGGGUUGUAAACCUCUUUCAGCAAGACGAUGACGGUAUGUGCAGAAGAAGGACCGGCCAACUACGUGCCAGCAGCCGCGGUAAUACGUAGGGUCCGAGCGUUGUCCGGAAUUACUGGGCGUAAAGAGCUCGUAGGUGGUUUGUCGCGUUGUUCGUGAAAACUCACAGCUUAACUGUGGGCGUGCGGGCGAUACGGGCAGACUGGAGUACUGCAGGGGAGACUGGAAUUCCUGGUGUAGCGGUGGAAUGCGCAGAUAUCAGGAGGAACACCGGUGGCGAAGGCGGGUCUCUGGGCAGACUGACGCUGAGGAGCGAAAGCGUGGGGAGCGAACAGGAUUAGAUACCCUGGUAGUCCACGCCGUAAACGGUGGGUACUAGGUGUGGGUUGAUCCGUGCCGUAGCUAACGCAUUAAGUACCCCGCCUGGGGAGUACGGCCGCAAGGCUAAAACUCAAAGGAAUUGACGGGGGCCCGCACAAGCGGCGGAGCAUGUGGAUUAAUUCGAUGCAACGCGAAGAACCUUACCUGGGUUUGACAUGUGCAGGUGGUGCAUGGCUGUCGUCAGCUCGUGUCGUGAGAUGUUGGGUUAAGUCCCGCAACGAGCGCAACCCUUGUCUCAUGUUGCCAGCACGUGGGGACUCGUGAGAGACUGCCGGGGUCAACUCGGAGGAAGGUGGGGAUGACGUCAAGUCAUCAUGCCCCUUAUGUCCAGGGCUUCACACAUGCUACAAUGGCCGGCAAAGGGCUGCGAUGCCGUGAGGUGGAGCGAAUCCUUUCCGGUCUCAGUUCGGACGGGGUCUGCAACUCGACCCCGGAAGUCGGAGUCGCUAGUAAUCGCAGAUCAGCAACGCUGCGGUGAAUACGUUCCCGGGCCUUGUACACACCGCCCGUCACGUCAUGAAAGUCGGUAACACCCGAAGCCGGUGCCUAGGGAGCCGUCGAAGGUGGGAUCGGCGAUUGGGACGAAGUCGUAACAAG